Molecule: ribosomal RNA, 533 nt
Filed under: uncultured bacterium
Lineage: Bacteria
Description: bacterial SSU rRNA
Rfam family: Bacterial small subunit ribosomal RNA
Source: RNAcentral
AAUAGAUACCCCGGUAGUCCACGCCGUAAACGAUGAGUGCUAAGUGUUAGAGGGUUUCCGCCCUUUAGUGCUGCAGCUAACGCAUUAAGCACUCCGCCUGGGGAGUACGGUCGCAAGACUGAAACUCAAAGGAAUUGACGGGGGCCCGCACAAGCGGUGGGGCAUGUGGUUUAAUUCGAAGCAACGCGAAGAACCUUACCAGGUCUUGACAUCCCACUGACCGGUAUAGAGAUAUACCUUUCCCUUCGGGGACAAUGGUGACAGGUGGUGCAUGGUUGUCGUCAGCUCGUGUCGUGAGAUGUUGGGUUAAGUCCCGCAACGAGCGCAACCCUUGAUCUUAGUUGCCAGCAUUUAGUUGGGCACUCUAAGGUGACUGCCGGUGACAAACCGGAGGAAGGUGGGGAUGACGUCAAAUCAUCAUGCCCCUUAUGACCUGGGCUACACACGUGCUACAAUGGAUGGUACAAAGGGCUGCAAGACUGCGAAGUCAAGCCAAUCCCAUAAAAACCAUUCUCAGUUCGGAUUGCAGGCUG